AUGGAAGUUACUCUUGAUUUCCAUGGAAAAUGCCAUCAGGCAGUCUUACAACAGGAAGUAAGUACUUGCUCUCAUAUGGUGCUUUUCAGUGGACUGUAGUCGGCAAAUUUCUAAAAUGGCCUUGAAUGAUCUCCAUGUCUUGAUAUUCUUGUACUUAUGUAGUUCAUUCCCUUGAGUGUGGGCUUGACCUAGUGACUUGCUCCAACCAAAACAUGUAUGGUUGCAUCUCGCCAGAAUUCCCCUACCUUCUUGUCCAGAAAAAGCCAGCAGCCACACUGAGAGAUGCAUGAGAAGGGGCCUUUGGCCUACAGUAAGCCAGGAAUUGAGAUCCUCAGGAAUGCAUCUCACAAGGAACUGAGUCCUUUUCAAGUCGUGUGAGUGAGCUUGGAAGCAGACACUUCCCCAGUCGAGCCACAUCAGGAAUGGAGCCCAGCUCAUCACUUUGAUUGAAGUCUGUGAGAGACUCUGGGCCAGAGGACCCAGGAAUUGUGACAUAAUAAAUAUUAUUGUUAAGCCAACUACAUUUUCCAGAUGAUUUUAUAAAUUUAUGUGCCAAUAAAUUUACUACAAAAAAUUUCUCUAUUUCUCUGACUUCAUAAAAAACCUUCAAAUCUUUCCCUUUAUGUUUGAAAGGGUGUAAAAUGUGACUACAACCAUGCUUUCAGAUAUAAAGAACACUCCUUCUGUUUGUUGAGUUUGAUUUAUCACGUGUCAGUAAAAGAAUAAACUCCUUCCAGUUUAUCACAUCCUACCUUUUACUCUCAUUUGCUCUCCAGGUUUUUAAGAAUUCAUUGUUCAUUACUCAAGUCCCUUUGGACCUCACCAUGACCUUACACAGUACUUGGUGUAUGGUUGAUACUGAGUGAAUAUUUACAGAGAGGAAUAAAGGAGAAAGAAAGGGGAAGACCGGAAAAACUAAUGCCAUAGGAAGAGAUUUAACAAAUAGGAAGCAACAUAAACAUUCAUCAUUAUUUGGUGACAGUCUCUAUGAAGAGCAAAGACCAGUCCACCGGCCCCUUUAUUGAGUACCAGGUGUCAGCCUGAGUUGCCUUGGGCAGCGCUUCCAUCCCCGCCACUGGCAAGAGCCCUGGUCCCCAGCCCAGGACGAUCCAAGGAGAGAUGCAGCCACGCCGAGGUAUGUGUGUGCACGAAGCGGGCACUGGCAUCCGGAGCCUUGGCAGCUGGCCCUUGAACUCAU
RNAcentral lists this long non-coding RNA (1198 nucleotides) under Oryctolagus cuniculus (rabbit). RNAcentral's name for it is "lncRNA (ENSOCUG00000035282.1)". Lineage: Eukaryota; Metazoa; Chordata; Mammalia; Lagomorpha; Leporidae. The record is from RNAcentral.